GGCGCGGGGGGGCGCGGGGGGGCGGGCUGGCUCCAGGCACCGCUCCCGCCGCUUGGUUCUUCCCUGCGACGCGCGACCGGACUCUAGGUGGCCCUAGAACUUUGAAAAUACUGAGACUUCUAUUUUCCUCUGAAGAAAGUGUCCUUUGAGCCCACUGAGAGAAGAAACAGUUGGUUGCAGAGACUAGUCUGACUUAGAAGGAAGCAGAGUGUGACAAAUAGAGCCGGACUUUCACCUUUGCCUUAUCAGGAUCAGAGCAGGGUACCCCUGCUCAGGAUGAGUGACUUAUCAGAUGUCAUAGUCUGACUGAGCCAUACAUGGCACAUCCUCCCGGGACAUGAAACUGACUCAGAGUGUACCCAGCUGAUAAUGUUCCUGCCAGUUUGGCUGUCCCCGCCCUCUAGCACUAAGGAUCAGCCUGUGUGGAGGACAGAGGGACUGAACCAAAGACCUUCACAUCGAGCUACAUCCCCAGCUACAUCCCUGACCAAUUUUUAAUUUUUAUUUUGAGACAGGGUCUUACUAAGUCACUAAAUUACUCAGGCUGGGAUUGAAUUUGCAAUCCUCCUGUGUCACUCUCCAAGCAUGCUGGUAUUGCAGGUCUCCUCCCCUCUCCUUUGUUUCCUGGUCCCAGGGAAGCUGAGAGGUCAUGUGGCAGGGGCUCCCUGCUGGGCCCAGGAUUCAUAGUGUUUCAGGACCCAGGCCCAUUUUGCUUGGUCAUUUGUUUCUGUUGUUGAUGUGGCUGCACACCCACAGCUCCGGGAUUCCUUCACCCUCCAACUCCGAAUCCAAUUUCGUAGCUCUCGGUGUUUUUCAGGCUGGACGGAAGCCAGAAAUAUGUGGGGGAAUGUUCAAGGCUUCCCCCGCAGACUCCAGGUUGAGCUCGGCCCUUGAGAUCACACAGACCUAAGUCUCUGUCGUCCUGAGUUGUCCAACCUGACAAAGAAAAACAGAUGCCUUGAGGCCAGGGAAGGCUCAACUCCAGGGAGAACUCCAACCAACCAUUCUCAGAGGCUCCGGGGUUAG
Molecule: long non-coding RNA, 1026 nt
Filed under: Heterocephalus glaber (naked mole-rat)
Lineage: Eukaryota; Metazoa; Chordata; Mammalia; Rodentia; Bathyergidae
Description: lncRNA (ENSHGLG00000038490.1)
Source: RNAcentral